GAAAAAUGCUAAAAUAUAAUGAGAGUGCCUCAUAUUGGGCUUGUUUAAUUAAUAAGUAAUGAGAAGCAAUGGUAUAGAAGAAGAAGAAGAUAGAAAGCAAAGUUAAUGGGACCUUGAAGUACAUGCAGGUUUCCUUAGACUUGUAAGCUGUGCAUUGAUCCGGUCCCUGCGCCGCUUCUCGGCCUGACUGUGGCUCUUGGAAGCACUAGCAUAUGGGAAGAACUAAGGUAAUAACCUGCAUGGGUGAUUCUAAUUGAACUUAUGGCUCUCUUAUUACAGCUUGAUAUUGUUGUACUUCAGUUUCAAAAUUAAAAGCUUAUGCAGAAAUUAGAAACGCAGAAGUAGAGCAUACAGCUCUUGAGAAUAAAUUUUCUCAAAUGAAGGAGAGGCAACAGUCAUAUGACUCUGCUUUAACAGUGGUUAAGAAAAACUGGGAACAGGUAAUUUAUUUUGUGUUUCAUUUUUUACUCCUUAAGUUCAAAUAUUCCAUGCUUUAAUUUGUCUAAUGAUUUAUAUCACAAUCACUUGCUGGGCAAUAUCCGCUUUCCGCAAUCUAUUGAAGUUCUGUCUUUGAUCCUUCUUAGUUAUUGCAUUAAUUGGACACCAAGCAAUGUCAUAUGAAUUGAUAUGAUAUGGUUGAAAAAUUAUGAAAUCUAGGUAGCUGAGAUAACCAGCAUAAUGAUUUUGCAGUCUUUACAUUAUUCAAGAUGAUAUUGUUACAUUAUUGUAGACAUUGCAUUACAUUAUUAUUUAAGAUACUGCUUAUAAAUAUAAAUAACAUACAUGUUAUUGUUAAAAUAAAAAUGCUUAUAGAGUGUAAGUGUUGUGCGUCACAAAUGAUAUUUAGCCAGUGCUAACUCAUAGUUAUUUGCAACGGAUUGGAAAAAAUGGGUUGUUAAAAGGGAAUUGCUAGUGGAUGAAAGAUAACCAUUGAUAAUGCUUAUGAAUUCUUAGUGCAGGGCUCCCUGUGUUCAGGGCUGUUUUCACUGUUUCAUUGCUUCUUACUCUAACCUAUACAUUCUUAUUCCCUUUAUUGAUUUGAUAAUUGUUUGCAGUGUAGUUACUUAUUUAAUUGGUGCUUUUAUUGAGAGUAGAUUGGAUCCAUGGUAGAUGAGUGGAUUGCAUACACGCAAAGCCAACUCACAAGCAUGGAUUCAUCUUUGCGUUCUAUUGAGAAAAUGUUGCGUGAGACUCAUAAGUUGAAAUAGAAGAACACUGAUUACAUUUUCGUAUUGGAAUAUGAGUUUUGAAGGUCAUGGUUCAUCAAUUAUAAUCCCUUGUCCAUACCAUGUAGAUGUAUAUAUAUAAAUGAGUAUCAUAAGCUAUUGUCUUCUACUAUUUGUACUAGAGAAUCUUUCAUGGCCUCAGAGGACUCUUGCAUGAAUUAUAUGUAUUGUUUACUUGUCAAUUGAUUGGUGUAUUAGUCUACUAUUAUUCUAAGUUUGCUAAUUCUGAAUGGUGUGCUAGUCUUAUUCCUUAUUUUAGUCAAAUAUCUUAAGUUUCAUUAAAAAUUUCAUGCUUUGAGUGAAUUUUUUUCUUAAAAGAGUUGUAUAUUUUGUUUUUGUUUGUACUAGGAUAAGCAACCAUAAAUUAAAGUAUUUGUUUAAUCUCUUUAUUUGAAGAUAUUGAAUUCAAAGCUUAUGCCUCUGUUCUAAUAAAUUGCUUAGUACAUGGCUUUAAGUCAUCAUCAAUUUUACUUAAUAUAUAAUUUAUCUAUGAUCAUUAUUGUAUAAUUUAUCUUUGUAAAUAUAUAAUUUUAAUAAAAAAGUGGUGAGAUAAGUGUCUUAUUGUCCAGAAACUUCGUAGAAGCACACUCAAUUCUGCAGGGUUCAACAAGCAAAGAUAUCACAAAUUUUCUUGUACAAGAACCAAUAACGGUAGCAACAAUAACCCAUGUUACACCUGCCAA
Non-coding RNA from Arachis ipaensis, 1909 nucleotides. The record is from RefSeq and is a predicted model, not a curated record. NCBI's taxonomy places the organism in Eukaryota, Viridiplantae, Streptophyta, Magnoliopsida, Fabales, Fabaceae.